Long non-coding RNA from Esox lucius (northern pike), 302 nucleotides. RefSeq lists it as uncharacterized. The record is from RefSeq and is a predicted model, not a curated record. The transcript has 3 exons. Lineage: Eukaryota; Metazoa; Chordata; Actinopteri; Esociformes; Esocidae.
UUUUCCUGGUUGUGGGUCAGACUGAUCCUCAGUUUCAUCAGAAAUUCUGCCAGGCUGUCCACCCAAACCAUUCCUGGGCCUAAAGAAUUCUGUAAUGAGAGAUCAAUCGAAGACUCGGGAAGAGCUGUGAUCUGACUCUUGGCUACUGGAUCCUACUGGAACACAACACUGUCUGUGCUGCUGAUUGACUCCCAAGAAUAAAAAAAGGAACUUGUCACAGACGUACUGCAUGUGUGCGCUCCAGUCAAAACAGCCCUCCUCCGCCCUGAGCCACCUCUCAAUCUCACUCCGGUUGCUGUCCA